GGGAUCAGGUUGUCGAAUUGUUGGGGGUCCACCAUCACGGGUGGUUGCAUUGGCUCUGUAGGUCCAUGAGAGGCAAAUAGCUGGAUUGCUCUACUUUGGCUUUUUCGAGUAGACUGUCAGUGGGAAGUAGUGGAGUUCUUGCAGCGAGACAUUUUCUCUCUCAGAUUGGAUUGCUGGGUCCUUUCUCUAACGCCAAACUAUUACGUCAAGACUCCAGGGAGAGAUGAUAUGGCAAAGGAGGCGUGUCCGUCUGAUCACCAGAAUGUUGCAGGAGAUCUACAAGAGAAGUCCACUCACGUCGGAGAGGGUGCUUCGGUGGGAGACCCUUUGAGUCAGUCGAAACUCGAGCACAAUAGAAAGGAGAGAGAAUAUGGAA
Molecule: long non-coding RNA, 376 nt
Filed under: Elaeis guineensis (African oil palm)
Lineage: Eukaryota; Viridiplantae; Streptophyta; Magnoliopsida; Arecales; Arecaceae
Description: long non-coding RNA (EGUI_LNC047543)
Source: RNAcentral